Molecule: ribosomal RNA, 910 nt
Filed under: uncultured bacterium
Lineage: Bacteria
Description: bacterial SSU rRNA
Rfam family: Bacterial small subunit ribosomal RNA
Source: RNAcentral
AGUCGAGCGGGAAGUCCUUCGGGANGAGUACAGCGGCGGACGGGUGAGAAACGCGUAAGAAUCUGCCCUUCAGUGAGGAAUACCUCCGAGAAAUCGGAGUUAAUACUGCAUACGUCCCUACGGGGAGAAAGAUGGCCUCUUUGCUGUCGCUGAUGGAUGAGCUUGCGUACUAUUAGCUAGUUGGUGGGGUAAAGGCCUACCAAGGCGGUGAUGGUUAACCGGCCUGAGAGGGUGUUCGGUCACAUUGGAACUGAGACACGGUCCAGACUCCUACGGGAGGCAGCAGUGGGGAAUAUUGCGCAAUGGGCGAAAGCCUGACGCAGCGACGCCGCGUGGAGGAUGAAGGUCUUAGGAUUGUAAACUUCUGUUAAGUGGGAAAAAAGACUCGCUCCUAAUACGAGCGAGGGAUGAUGGUACCACUAGAGAAAGCACCGGCUAAUCUCGUGCCAGCAGCCGCGGUAAUACGAGAGGUGCAAGCGUUAUUCGGAUUAAUUGGGUGUAAAGGGUGCGUAGACGGCGCGUUAAGUUUGUUGUUAAAUCUUCCGGCUCAACCGGAAACAUGCGGCAAAUACUGGCGUGCUAGAGGAUGGAAGAGAGAAGUGGAAUUCUUGGAGUAGCGGUAAAAUGCGUAGAUCUCAAGAGGAACACCGAUGGCGAAGGCAGCUUCUUGGUCCAUUCCUGACGUUGAGGCACGAAAGCGUGGGGAGCAAACAGGAUUAGAUACCCUGGUAGUCCACGCCGUAAACGAUAAUCACUAGACGUUGGUUCUGUUUAACGGAAUCAGUGUCGUAGCUAACGCGUUAAGUGAUUCACCUGGGAAGUACGGUCGCAAGAUUAAAACUCAAAUGAAUUGACGGGGGUCCGCACAAGCGGUGGAACAUGUGGUUUAAUUCGACACUACGCGAGGAAC